GACGAACGCUGGCGGCGUGCUUAACACAUGCAAGUCGAACGGAAAGGCCCUGCUUUUGUGGGGUGCUCGAGUGGCGAACGUGUGAGUAACACGUGAGUAACCUGCCCUUGACUUUGGGAUAACUUCAGGAAACUGGGGCUAAUACCGGAUAGGAGCUCCUGCUGCAUGGUGGGGGUUGGAAAGUUUCGGCGGUUGGGGAUGGACUCGCGGCUUAUCAGCUUGUUGGUGGGGUAGUGGCUUACCAAGGCUUUGACGGGUAGCCGGCCUGAGAGGGUGACCGGCCACAUUGGGACUGAGAUACGGCCCAGACUCCUACGGGAGGCAGCAGUGGGGAAUAUUGCACAAUGGGCGGAAGCCUGAUGCAGCAACGCCGCGUGCGGGAUGACGGCCUUCGGGUUGUAAACCGCUUUCGCCUGUGACGAAGCGUGAGUGACGGUAAUGGGUAAAGAAGCACCGGCUAACCACGUG
RNAcentral lists this ribosomal RNA (468 nucleotides) under uncultured bacterium. RNAcentral describes it as "partial 16S ribosomal RNA". It matches the Rfam family "Bacterial small subunit ribosomal RNA", at positions 28 to 507 of the family's 1533-position model. The record is from RNAcentral.